AUUAGUUUGAUCAUGGCUCAGAUUGAACGCUGGCGGCAGGCCUAACACAUGCAAGUCGAGCGGUAGAGAGAAGCUUGCUUCUCUUGAGAGCGGACGGGUGAGUAAUGCCUAGGAAUCUGCCUGGUAGUGGGGGAUAACGUUCGGAAACGGACGCUAAUACCGCAUACGUCCUACGGGAGAAAGCAGGGGACCUUCGGGCCUUGCGCUAUCAGAUGAGCCUAGGUCGGAUUAGCUAGUUGGUGAGGUAAUGGCUCACCAAGGCGACGAUCCGUAACUGGUCUGAGAGGAUGAUCAGUCACACUGGAACUGAGACACGGUCCAGACUCCUACGGGAGGCAGCAGUGGGGAAUAUUGGACAAUGGGCGAAAGCCUGAUCCAGCCAUGCCGCGUGUGUGAAGAAGGUCUUCGGAUUGUAGCACUUUAAGUUGGGAGGAAGGGCAGUUACCUAAUACGUGA
RNAcentral lists this ribosomal RNA (456 nucleotides) under uncultured bacterium. Its description in RNAcentral is "bacterial SSU rRNA". It matches the Rfam family "Bacterial small subunit ribosomal RNA", at positions 1 to 472 of the family's 1533-position model. The record is from RNAcentral.